Molecule: RNase P RNA, 397 nt
Filed under: Pseudoruegeria sp. SK021
Lineage: Bacteria; Pseudomonadati; Pseudomonadota; Alphaproteobacteria; Rhodobacterales; Roseobacteraceae
Description: Bacterial RNase P class A
Rfam family: Bacterial RNase P class A
About the family: Ribonuclease P (RNase P) is a ubiquitous endoribonuclease, found in archaea, bacteria and eukarya as well as chloroplasts and mitochondria. Its best characterised activity is the generation of mature 5'-ends of tRNAs by cleaving the 5'-leader elements of precursor-tRNAs.
Source: Rfam by way of RNAcentral
GCGGAUGGCUGGGUGACUGCGGGCGGUAACGUCCGAGGAAAGUCCGGACUCCAUGAAGAAACGGUGCCGGGUAAUGCCCGGCCGGGGCAACCCGAGGGAAAGCGCCACAGAAAACAAACCGCCAGCGGCGGGUCGGCGUCAGUCGAUACCACCGCGGGUCAGGGUGAAACGGUGGGGUAAGAGCCCACCGCGGGACUGGCAACAGAACCGGCACGGCAAGCCCCACCGGGAGCAAUGCCAAAUAGGGACCUUGCGUUUGCCCUUAGGGGCGGCAGGCAUCUUCAGCCCAGAGGUCCGGGUUGGCAGCUAGAGCGCGUCGGCAACGGCGGGCCAAGAUGAAUGGUCAUCCAAGGGGGCAACCCCGGGACAAAAUCCGGCUUACAGGCCAUCCGCACAA